This 460-nucleotide ribosomal RNA is filed under the name uncultured bacterium. Its description in RNAcentral is "bacterial SSU rRNA". It matches the Rfam family "Bacterial small subunit ribosomal RNA", at positions 8 to 464 of the family's 1533-position model. The record is from RNAcentral.
AGAGUUUGAUCAUGGCUCAGAUUGAACGCUGGCGGUAUGCUUAACACAUGCAAGUCGAACGGAAACGAUGGAAGCUUGCUUCCAGGCGUCGAGUGGCGGACGGGUGAGUAACGCGUAGGAAUCUGCCUGAUAGUGGGGGAUAGCCCGGAGAAAUUCGGAUUAAUACCGCAUAAUCUCUACGGAGUAAAGGAGGCCUCUAUUUAUAUGCUUUCGCUAUCAGAUGAGCCUGCGUAAGAUUAGCUAGUUGGUGAGGUAAAGGCUCACCAAGGCGACGAUCUUUAGCUGGUCUGAGAGGAUGAUCAGCCACACUGGGACUGAGACACGGCCCAGACUCCUACGGGAGGCAGCAGUGGGGAAUAUUGGACAAUGGGCGCAAGCCUGAUCCAGCAAUACCGCGUGUGUGAAGAAGGCCUGAGGGUUGUAAAGCACUUUCAAUUGUGAAGAAAAGCUAAAGGUUAAU